This 483-nucleotide ribosomal RNA is filed under the name uncultured Pseudomonadota bacterium. RNAcentral describes it as "bacterial SSU rRNA". It matches the Rfam family "Bacterial small subunit ribosomal RNA", at positions 355 to 830 of the family's 1533-position model. Lineage: Bacteria; Pseudomonadati; Pseudomonadota. The record is from RNAcentral.
UGGGGAAUUUUGGACAAUGGGCGCAAGCCUGAUCCAGCCAUGCCGCGUGUGUGAAGAAGGCCUUCGGGUUGUAAAGCACUUUCGGCCGGAACGAAAUCGCGCGGGCGAAUAUCCCGCGUGGAUGACGGUACCGGAAGAAGAAGCACCGGCUAACUACGUGCCAGCAGCCGCGGUAAUACGUAGGGUGCGAGCGUUAAUCGGAAUUACUGGGCGUAAAGUGUGCGCAGGCGGCCGAGCAAGUCGAGUGUGAAAUCCCCGGGCUUAACUUGGGAAUUGCGCUCGAAACUACUUGGCUGGAGUGUGGCAGAGGAAGGUGGAAUUCCACGUGUAGCGGUGAAAUGCGUAGAGAUGUGGAGGAACACCGAUGGCGAAGGCAGCCUUCUGGGCCAACACUGACGCUCAUGCACGAAAGCGUGGGGAGCAAACAGGAUUAGAUACCCUGGUAGUCCACGCCCUAAACGAUGAUGACUAGUUGUUGGGGGA